RNAcentral lists this microRNA (20 nucleotides) under Ananas comosus (pineapple). Its description in RNAcentral is "microRNA 156f". Lineage: Eukaryota; Viridiplantae; Streptophyta; Magnoliopsida; Poales; Bromeliaceae. The record is from RNAcentral.
GACAGAAGAGAGUGAGCACA